This 253-nucleotide ribosomal RNA is filed under the name uncultured bacterium. RNAcentral describes it as "partial 16S ribosomal RNA". It matches the Rfam family "Bacterial small subunit ribosomal RNA", at positions 524 to 776 of the family's 1533-position model. The record is from RNAcentral.
UACGAAGGGGGCUAGCGUUGCUCGGAAUCACUGGGCGUAAAGGGUGCGUAGGCGGGUCUUUAAGUCAGGGGUGAAAUCCCGGAGCUCAACUUCGGAACUGCCUCUGAUACAGCACGUCUUGAGUCCGGAAGAGGUGGGUGGAAUUCCUAGUGUAGAGGUGAAAUUCGUAGAUAUUAGGAAGAACACCGGUGGCGAAGGCGGCCCACUGGUCCGGUACUGACGCUGAGGUGCGAAAGCGUGGGGAGCAAACAGG